This 515-nucleotide ribosomal RNA is filed under the name uncultured bacterium. Its description in RNAcentral is "bacterial SSU rRNA". It matches the Rfam family "Bacterial small subunit ribosomal RNA", at positions 28 to 560 of the family's 1533-position model. The record is from RNAcentral.
AAUGAACGUUGGCGGCGUGGAUUAGGCAUGCAAGUCGAGCGUGUACCCGCAAGGGGAAAGCGGCAAACGGGGUAGGAACGCGUAGGUCACGUACCCCUCGGCCGGGGAUAGCCACGGGAAACUGUGGGUAAUACCCGAUGACGCCGAGAGGCCAAAGGUGUGAUUCCGCCGGGGGAGCGGCCUGCGUAGUAUUAGCUAGUUGGUGAGGUAACGGCUCACCAAGGCGAAGAUGCUUAGGGGGUGUGAGAGCAUGACCCCCACCACUGGGACUGAGAUACUGCCCAGACACCUACGGGUGGCUGCAGUCGAGAAUCUUCGGCAAUGGGGGCAACCCUGACCGAGCGACGCCGCGUGUGGGAUGAAGGCCCUUGGGUUGUAAACCACUGUCAGAGGGGAUGAAACGAUCAUGGGUUCUCCCAUGGUCCUGACAUAGCCUCAGAGGAAGCACGGGCUAAGUUCGUGCCAGCAGCCGCGGUAAUACGAACUGUGCAAACGUUAUUCGGAAUCACUGGGAC